AACGAACGCUGGCGGCAUGCCUAACACAUGCAAGUCGAACGAUCCCUUCGGGGAUAGUGGCGCACGGGUGCGUAACGCGUGGGAACCCGCCCUUAGGUUCGGAAUAACUCAGAGAAAUUUGAGCUAAUACCGGAUAAUGUCUUCGGACCAAAGAUUUAUCGCCUUUGGAUGGGCCCGCGUUGGAUUAGCUAGUUGGUGGGGUAAAGGCCUACCAAGGCGACGAUCCAUAGCUGGUCUGAGAGGAUGAUCAGCCACACUGGGACUGAGACACGGCCCAGACUCCUACGGGAGGCAGCAGUGGGGAAUAUUGGACAAUGGGCGAAAGCCUGAUCCAGCAAUGCCGCGUGAGUGAUGAAGGCCUUAGGGUUGUAAAGCUCUUUUACCCGGGAUGAUAAUGACAGUACCGGGAGAAUAAGCCCCGGCUAACUCCGUG
RNAcentral lists this ribosomal RNA (433 nucleotides) under uncultured bacterium. RNAcentral's name for it is "partial 16S ribosomal RNA". It matches the Rfam family "Bacterial small subunit ribosomal RNA", at positions 29 to 507 of the family's 1533-position model. The record is from RNAcentral.